GUAUUGGCGGAUGCGGCAUCAUCAAGAUUCACAUAAGCUUUUUUAAUAGUUUGAUCAAUGGAGGAUGAGGGAGGGGUCUCCUUUUGCUCCAAAGAGCUCUCUUUCUUAUAUGAGAAUCUUGAUGAUGCUGCAUCAGCAAAUAU
This is a non-coding RNA of Ricinus communis (castor bean), 143 nucleotides long. NCBI's taxonomy places the organism in Eukaryota, Viridiplantae, Streptophyta, Magnoliopsida, Malpighiales, Euphorbiaceae. The record is from Rfam.